Non-coding RNA from Malus domestica (apple), 964 nucleotides. The record is from RefSeq and is a predicted model, not a curated record. NCBI's taxonomy places the organism in Eukaryota, Viridiplantae, Streptophyta, Magnoliopsida, Rosales, Rosaceae.
GAAAAAUUCUUAUAACGGUCUUGAAAUCUUCCACCUGUUGCGUUGUGCAUAAGCUCCAUGGUUUCGCAAUUGAGCCAUCUGAUUUCAUGUCUCCUUCAAUUUUCUGUGCUGCACGGUUAAGGAAUCUGCAUGCAAAUAGAGAGGUUCUUGGUUAGGAAACCAAAUUGGGGUUGGUGUGAGGGAGAGGGUGGGACUAAAUUGGGAUAAGAUUAGCAUGACAAAUUAGGAUGGUUGAGGUAUGUGGUGUUGUGUUUGGGUGCACAAGGAUACGUGGUUCGAUUGUCGGAUCCCAAACUUUCUCCUUGCCUAGAGAUGAUAGCUGGAGACUAGUUUUCCGAACAGAGGCAACAAUAACACGACCUAAACCAACAAAUGGACUCCCGUGUGGCUUAUCAAAUUUAUAGAAACGGUUUCCAGAGAAGAAAAUGGCCAUUCCGAUUAGGUUGGCGAUGACACAAAGGCCAAACCCCCAUUUAAAACCGACGUUGUCUUCAAUGUAGACAAUGACUGUUAGGGCUACCACUGUAAUAGAGUAUAGAGUGAAGAAGAACCAGUUGAAGAAACUUGCUUGAUGCUUAGGCUUAUCAAAUUGAUUGGCUCCCAGUGUUGCCAAGGUAUAGCGGGUACCUCCCAAGCCAAGAGAUGCGACAGUUACGCCGGUGUACAAGACUGCAUACUGUAAUGCCGAGGUCGGUUGAGGCUUCAACGAAUUCAGCGUUGCGGUUAAAACUAAGAGAACGAUGCCCUGCAACGAAUUUAUCAAUUAUUUAGAAUGCUACCCUAGAUCAUAUAUGUAUGGGAGAUUAUCUAGUAAACAUUCGUAUAUGAUAUAUCAGCUUGCAUGAUAUAUUGUUGGCUUGCGAAUUUAAUACUGAAACGACAGUUACACAUAAUCAGUGGAUGAACAAUCUUCAUGAUCUCAGAUCAAAUUGACAAGAAAUUGUAUUAUCCAUAACCACAGAAA